This is a long non-coding RNA of Helicoverpa armigera (cotton bollworm), 560 nucleotides long. RefSeq lists it as uncharacterized. The record is from RefSeq and is a predicted model, not a curated record. The transcript is spliced from 2 exons. NCBI's taxonomy places the organism in Eukaryota, Metazoa, Arthropoda, Insecta, Lepidoptera, Noctuidae.
AACUUUGUGUCGGUAAGUGGAUCAUCACUGGUGAUUAAUUGAUAACCGUGACAGUGACAGAAUGGUUAUGAGUAACGUUUUAAGGUUCUGGUAUCUGGUGAGAUAAAACUUAAUAUGAUAAUAAUAGGUUAAUAAUAGGUUUUUCAUAGCCCGAUGCGGCAAGAAACUACCAGCGUUCUAUUGCAAACAUCUGAUUGUCAUCAGAUAAAUACGGAUUAUAUUGAUUAAUAUUGGUUAAUCAAUUCAGUAUCUUAUCUUGCGGUAUAUUUGCACUAUUUAUAUACUGUCUCAGCACGAGAACGACUAUUACGGUUUCAAGAGGACAUCUUGCACAUUAACAAUCAUGAAGAGCUUCAUUCUCAUCGCACUGUUGUCAACGUUGUCAGUCUGUGCGCUCCUUAGAGCCUGCAGAAUGUACUAUGACAGUGGAUAAUGGAAAAACCGUUCAAACAUAUUACUGCAAUGAAAUGAUUCACUGAAGUCAACAGAUUGUUCAAUAAUUAUUGGAGUUAACAGAUUGUUUAUCAAUUAUUGGAGUCAAAUAAAUUGUUCAUUCAUGA